RNAcentral lists this microRNA (19 nucleotides) under Pteropus alecto (black flying fox). RNAcentral describes it as "pal-miR-323b-5p". Its record names the gene pal-miR-323b-5p. The record is from miRBase by way of RNAcentral. Lineage: Eukaryota; Metazoa; Chordata; Mammalia; Chiroptera; Pteropodidae.
AGGUUGUCCGUGGUGAGUU